RNAcentral lists this non-coding RNA (28 nucleotides) under Cricetulus griseus (Chinese hamster). The record is from RNAcentral. Lineage: Eukaryota; Metazoa; Chordata; Mammalia; Rodentia; Cricetidae. RNAcentral also lists the same sequence under 1 other name.
CUAAUUGAUCACAACCAGUUACAGAUUU